GUCAAACAAGAAACUAGGUGUGAG
This 24-nucleotide non-coding RNA is filed under the name Arabidopsis thaliana (thale cress). The record is from RNAcentral. Lineage: Eukaryota; Viridiplantae; Streptophyta; Magnoliopsida; Brassicales; Brassicaceae.